RNAcentral lists this Y RNA (114 nucleotides) under Microcebus murinus (gray mouse lemur). Its description in RNAcentral is "Y RNA (ENSMICG00000044979.1)". It matches the Rfam family "Y RNA". Rfam says of the family: Y RNAs are components of the Ro ribonucleoprotein particle (Ro RNP), in association with Ro60 and La proteins. The Y RNAs and Ro60 and La proteins are well conserved, but the function of the Ro RNP is not known. Lineage: Eukaryota; Metazoa; Chordata; Mammalia; Primates; Cheirogaleidae. The record is from Rfam by way of RNAcentral.
GGCUGGUCCAAAGGUAGUGAGUUAUCUCACUUGAUUAUUCACAAUCAGUUACAGAUUGGACUCUUUGUUCUACUACAUUUUCCCCUUCUUACUACUGCACUUGACUAGUCUUAA